This 357-nucleotide unclassified non-coding RNA is filed under the name uncultured bacterium. RNAcentral's name for it is "partial 16S-23S ribosomal RNA intergenic spacer". The record is from RNAcentral.
GCCAAGGUAUCCACCGAUAUACCCNUUNAANANUUANCCAUACAACCCUAAAUAGCUUCGUCGUUUGNUUCCUUCUCUUCGCCUUUGUUCUNCCUCUAUCAAACUAGGNUUGAUGUGAGAAAUAACAAGUUGCGCUAUCACCUCUUUAUUAACCNUGAGUAGUUAAUACGCUGGUAAUAACAUCGCCUGUAGAUGUUCANCUACGUGUCCGCCNUUUGAAAUCGGACCUAGGACUUGUUGUAUGCNUGAUUUACUAAUCGACAUGCAUUAUNAAGAACGUUUGCGACAACGCCUNAACCGGUUUANGCAUGCNUUUGAAUCGUCAGAUAGAGUAGCNACUUGAAAAAACACCUUUCG